CGGAUCCCAUCAGAACUCCGAAGUUAAGCGUGCUUGGGCGAGAGUAGUACUAGGAUGGGUGACCGAGUAGUACUAGGAUGGGUGACCUCCUGGGAAGUCCUCGUAUUGCAUCCC
RNAcentral lists this ribosomal RNA (114 nucleotides) under Helictochloa marginata. The record is from RNAcentral. Lineage: Eukaryota; Viridiplantae; Streptophyta; Magnoliopsida; Poales; Poaceae.